UUGCUUUUGCAGCACAUAUACUAAAAUUAGAAUGAUACAAUGACGACUGGCAUGGCAAUAGCACAAGGAUGAUGCACAAAUUUGUGAAGCAAAAGUAAUGGCU
This 103-nucleotide small nuclear RNA is filed under the name Notamacropus eugenii (tammar wallaby). Lineage: Eukaryota; Metazoa; Chordata; Mammalia; Diprotodontia; Macropodidae. The record is from RNAcentral.